ACGUAGGACGCAAGCGUUAUCCGGAAUUACUGGGCGUAAAGGGCGUGUAGGCGGCACGGUAAGUCAACCGUGAAAGCUCCCGGCUAAACUGGGAGAGGUCGGAUGAGACUGCCGAGCUAGAGGGUCGUAGAGGGGUGUGGAAUUCCGGGUGUAGUGGUGAAAUGCGUAGAGAUCCGGAGGAACCCCGGUGGCGAAGGCGGCUUUCUGGCCCGUAACUGACACUGAGGCGCGAAAGCGUGGGGAGCGAACGG
This 251-nucleotide ribosomal RNA is filed under the name uncultured prokaryote. Its description in RNAcentral is "partial 16S ribosomal RNA". It matches the Rfam family "Bacterial small subunit ribosomal RNA", at positions 525 to 775 of the family's 1533-position model. The record is from RNAcentral.